CCUACGGGUGGCAGCAGUAGGGAAUAUUGCUCAAUGGGGGAAACCCUGACGCAGCAACGCCGCGUGGAGGAUGCAGGUUUUAGGAUUGUAAACUCCUUGUGUUAGAGCAGAAUAUGACGGUAUCUACAGAAUAAGCACCGGCUAACUCCGUGCCAGCAGCCGCGGUAAUACGGAGGGUGCAAGCGUUAGCCGGAAUCACUGGGAGUAAAGAGUGCGUAGGCGGGGGAGUAAGUCUGAUGUGAAAGUCGGUGGCUCAACUACAGAACGGCAUUUGAUACUGUUACUCUGGAGUGAGGGAGAGGUAGAUGGAAUUCUUGGUGUAGCGGUGAAAUGCGUAGAGAUCAAGAGGAAUACUCGUGGCGAAGGCGAGCUGCUGGACCAUAACUGACGCUGAUGCACGAAAGCCAGGGGAGCAAAAGGGAUUAGACACCCCAGUAGUC
Molecule: ribosomal RNA, 440 nt
Filed under: uncultured bacterium
Lineage: Bacteria
Description: partial 16S ribosomal RNA
Rfam family: Bacterial small subunit ribosomal RNA
Source: RNAcentral